Molecule: long non-coding RNA, 1192 nt
Organism: Mercurialis annua (annual mercury)
Lineage: Eukaryota; Viridiplantae; Streptophyta; Magnoliopsida; Malpighiales; Euphorbiaceae
Exons: 3
Source: RefSeq, a predicted model, not a curated record
ACAUGAAAGAAUUAAUUUUGGAUGAUGUUGUAAUACCCUGUGUUUUUCCGGCUUGUUCCGAUGAUUUUUUUGAUGUGUUUUGGUUUGGAUUUUGGUGGUUGAUUCCUUGAAAGUAUUGUUUGUUUUGUAUAACCUUUGGUGUGUUGUUUUGAUUAGGUUCUGAGCUUUAUCGAAUAAGUGUUUAUGUGUUUUCCAGAUGUGACAUGCUUUAGUAAAAUGUCCAUAUCUCCCUAAUGCACCGUUGGAUCGGGCUCAUUUUUUGAUAUGAUGUUCCUAAGAGAAUUUUCUAAAAUUUGGUUGGUCGGAUCGGUUUUUUGAUGUGUCGCGGGCGUGAUAGGCCUAUCACGGGCGUGAUGCGGGCGCUGCUGAUUUAAAAUUUCCUAUUUAAAUCCCCCUUAUUCGACCCAAAAUUAUUUCCUUCGACUCUAAGAACCCUAGGGCGGCUGGAACAUCAUACUAACUCAAUUCCCCACCCAUUCCCUUCAAUUUUGAUCAUUAGCUGUUCUUGACCAAUUAUUUAUGGGUUUUGUUGUUCUUUGGUUAAUCAUAAGACCCGUCGACUGCUCGUGUUUCGGAGUUUACGCAGAGUUAGCUGUUUGCCAAGAUUUCAAGUGGUAAGCAAGCAGUGAGUUUGUAGUGCUAUUUAUCGCUUUAUUAAGUACCGCAAUUUAUUUUAGUAUUAUAAAUGCUUUUGAACUGUUUUAAGCGAUUAUGGAUCUGGAUUGAAACGAGCUACUCGAUAGGCUUGUAUCGAGACUGUGUGCACCGGUAAGUACUCUGGGAUCGGAAGACUAAUGUCUUGCUUACGCUGGUAUAUAUAUGACGAGGAUAUAUUCCCGUCCACUCUGGGUUUAUCAGUAUGUUAUGUCAUACUUACGCUGAGAUUAUUUCAAUACUGUUUUCCAUAAUCAUACUAUAUUAGUAUAAACUGUUUUGAUUUAAGGGUUUUAAACUUAAUAAAUGUAAAUAAUAUUGCGAACUCAUCUCAGUAUAUCUGACCCCGUUGUUUUCCCAAAUUUUCCAGGUUUAUGAUUUGAAAGCUGGUACACUCCGUUUCUUUUGAUUAUUUGGAGGUUUUUAUGUUAUUUAACUAGUUACUGUUUUUGAACUCUUAGACUGCAGUAGAACUAGUUAGUAUAUGUUAUAUUUGAUAUUACACUUUGGGAUUAUCGAUUUGAUCGAUUAUUUAUUA